CCUACGGGAGGUUGCAGUGGGGAAUAUUGGACAAUGGGCGAAAGCCUGAUCCAGCCAUGCCGCGUGUGUGAAGAAGGCCUUCGGGUUGUAAAGCACUUUCAGUGGGGAAGAAAGCCUUGGGGCUAAUACCCUCGAGGAAGGACAUCACCCACAGAAGAAGCACCGGCUAACUCCGUGCCAGCAGCCGCGGUAAUACGGAGGGUGCGAGCGUUAAUCGGAAUUACUGGGCGUAAAGCGCGCGUAGGCGGUCUGAUAAGCCGGUUGUGAAAGCCCCGGGCUCAACCUGGGAACGGCAUCCGGAACUGUCAGGCUAGAGUGCAGGAGAGGAAGGUAGAAUUCCCGGUGUAGCGGUGAAAUGCGUAGAGAUCGGGAGGAAUACCAGUGGCGAAGGCGGCCUUCUGGACUGACACUGACGCUGAGGUGCGAAAGCGUGGGUAGCAAACAGGAUUAGAUACCCGUGUAGUC
RNAcentral lists this ribosomal RNA (465 nucleotides) under Vreelandella stevensii. Its description in RNAcentral is "partial 16S ribosomal RNA". It matches the Rfam family "Bacterial small subunit ribosomal RNA", at positions 338 to 795 of the family's 1533-position model. The record is from RNAcentral. Lineage: Bacteria; Pseudomonadati; Pseudomonadota; Gammaproteobacteria; Oceanospirillales; Halomonadaceae.